AACCUGGUUGAUCCUGCCAGUAGUCAUAUGCUUGUCUCAAAGAUUAAGCCAUGCAUGUCUAAGUAUAAGCAAUUAUACAGCGAAACUGCGAAUGGCUCAUUAUAUAAGUUAUCGUUUAUUUGAUAGUACCUUACUACUUGGAUAACCGUGGUAAUUCUAGAGCUAAUACAUGCUAAAAAUCCCGACUUCGGAAGGGAUGUAUUUAUUAGAUUAAAAACCAAUGCCCUUCAGGGCUCACUGGUGAUUCAUGAUAACUCCUCGAAUCGCAUGGCCUUGUGCCGGCGAUGGUUCAUUCAAAUUUCUUCCCUAUCAACUUUCGAUGUUUGGGUAUUGGCCAAACAUGGUUGCAACGGGUAACGGAGGGUUAGGGCUCGACCCCGGAGAAGGAGCCUGAGAAACGGCUACUACAUCCAAGGAAGGCAACAGGCGCGCAAAUUACCCAAUCCCGACACGGGGAGGUAGUGACAAUAAAUACUGAUACAGGGCUCUUUUGGGUCUUGUAAUUGGAAUGAGUACAACUUAAAUCCCUUAACGAGGAACAAUUGGAGGGCAAGUCUGGUGCCAGCAGCCGCGGUAAUUCCAGCUCCAAUAGCGUAUAUUAAAGUUGUUGUGGUUAAAAAGCUCGUAGUUGAACCUUGGGCCUGGCUGGCCGGUCCGCCUCACCGCGUGUACUGGUCCGGCCGGGCCUUUCCCUCUGUGGAACCCCAUGCCCUUCACUGGGUGUGGCGGGGAAACAGGACUUUUACUGUGAAAAAAUUAGAGUGCUCCAGGCAGGCCUAUGCUCGAAUACAUUAGCAUGGAAUAAUAGAAUAGGACGUGUGGUUCUAUUUUGUUGGUUUCUAGGACCGCCGUAAUGAUUAAUAGGGACAGUCGGGGGCAUCAGU
Molecule: ribosomal RNA, 884 nt
Filed under: uncultured Ascomycota
Lineage: Eukaryota; Fungi; Ascomycota
Description: SSU rRNA
Rfam family: Eukaryotic small subunit ribosomal RNA
Source: RNAcentral